Molecule: ribosomal RNA, 119 nt
Filed under: Pteropus alecto (black flying fox)
Lineage: Eukaryota; Metazoa; Chordata; Mammalia; Chiroptera; Pteropodidae
Source: RNAcentral
GUCUAUGGCCAUGUCACCCUGAACAAGCCUAAGCCUGUCUGAUCUUGGAAACUAAACAGGGUCGGGCCUGGUUAGUACUUGGAUGGGAGACCACUUAGGAAGACCAGGUGCUGUAGGCA